AGCAGCCGCGGUAAUUCCAGCUCCAAUAGCGUAUAUUAAAGUUGUUGCAGUUAAAAAGCUCGUAGUUGAAUUUCGGGAUCAAUGUUUCGGUCAUGCCCUUGGUAUGUACUGAUAUUAUUGGUUUCUCACCUUCUAAAGAACCGUAAUGCCAUUGUUUUGGUGUCACGGGGAAUUAGGACUGUUACCUUGAAAAAAUUAGAGUGUUUAAAGCAGGCUCACGCUUGAAUACAUUAGCAUGGAAUAAUGAAAUAGGACAUCCGAUUCUAUUUUGUUGGUUUCUAGGAUCGAUGUAAUGAUUAAUAGGGAUAGUUGGGGGCAUUAGUAUUCAAUUGUCAGAGGUGAAAUUCUUGGAUUUAUUGAAGACUAACUACUGCGAAAGCAUUUGCCAAGGAUGUUUUCAUUAAUCAAGAACGAAAGUUAGGGGAUCGAAGACGAUCAGAUACCGUCGUAGUCUUAACCAUAAACUAUGCCGACUAGGGAUCGGAUGAUGUUAAUUUUUUAAUGACUCA
RNAcentral lists this ribosomal RNA (509 nucleotides) under uncultured glomeraceous AM fungus. RNAcentral describes it as "SSU rRNA". It matches the Rfam family "Eukaryotic small subunit ribosomal RNA", at positions 569 to 1078 of the family's 1831-position model. The record is from RNAcentral. Lineage: Eukaryota; Fungi; Glomeromycota; Glomeromycetes; Glomerales; Glomeraceae.